Molecule: ribosomal RNA, 811 nt
Filed under: uncultured bacterium
Lineage: Bacteria
Description: bacterial SSU rRNA
Rfam family: Bacterial small subunit ribosomal RNA
Source: RNAcentral
CUCAACUGUGGGUAAGCGAUGGAAACUGUAGGACUGGAGUGCGGUAGGGGCAGAGGGAAUUCCCAGUGUAGCGGUGAAAUGCGUAGAUAUUGGGAAGAACACCAGUGGCGAAGGCGCUCUACUGGGCCGUAACUGACGCUGAGGGACGAAAGCUAGGGGAGCGAAAGGGAUUAGAUACCCCUGUAGUCCUAGCUGUAAACGAUGGAUACUAGGUGUUGGACGUAUCGACCCGUUCAGUACCGCAGCCAACGCGAUAAGUAUCCCGCCUGGGGAGUACGCACGCAAGUGUGAAACUCAAAGGAAUUGACGGGGGCCCGCACAAGCGGUGGAGUAUGUGGUUUAAUUCGAUGCAACGCGAAGAACCUUACCAGGGCUUGACAUCCCUCGAAUCCUCUUGAAAGAGAGGAGUGCCUUCGGGAGCGAGGAGACAGGUGGUGCAUGGCUGUCGUCAGCUCGUGUCGUGAGAUGUUGGGUUAAGUCCCGCAACGAGCGCAACCCACGUCCUUAGUUGCCAUCAUUAAGUUGGGCACUCUGGGGAGACUGCCGGGGACAACUCGGAGGAAGGUGUGGAUGACGUCAAGUCAUCAUGCCCCUUACGUUCUGGGCUACACACGUACUACAAUGCUUCGGACAAAGAGCAGCCAACUAGCGAUAGUGAGCUAAUCUCAUAAACCGAGGCACAGUUCAGAUUGCAGGCUGCAACUCGCCUGCAUGAAGGAGGAAUCGCUAGUAAUCGCCGGUCAGCAUACGGCGGUGAAUACGUUCCCGGGCCUUGUACACACCGCCCGUCACACCAUGGGAGUUGGCCACA